CUCCUACGGGAGGCAGCAGUGGGGAAUCUUGCGCAAUGGGCGAAAGCCUGACGCAGCCAUGCCGCGUGAAUGAUGAAGGUCUUAGGAUUGUAAAAUUCUUUCACCGGGGACGAUAAUGACGGUACCCGGAGAAGAAGCCCCGGCUAACUUCGUGCCAGCAGCCGCGGUAAUACGAAGGGGGCUAGCGUUGCUCGGAAUUACUGGGCGUAAAGGGAGCGUAGGCGGACAUUUAAGUCAGGGGUGAAAUCCCGGGGCUCAACCUCGGAAUCGCCUUUGAUACUGGGUGUCUUGAGUAUGAGAGAGGUGUGUGGAACUCCGAGUGUAGAGGUGAAAUUCGUAGAUAUUCGGAAGAACACCAGUGGCGAAGGCGACGCACUGGCUCAUUACUGACGCUGAGGCUCGAAAGCGUGGGGAGCAAACAGGAUUAGAUACCCUGGUAGUCCACGCCGUAAACGAUGAUUGCUAGUUGUCGGGAUGCAUGCAUUUCGGUGACGCAGCUAACGCAUUAAGCAAUCCGCCUGGGGAGUACGGUCGCAAGAUUAAAACUCAAAGGAAUUGACGGGGACCCGCACAAGCGGUGGAUGAUGUGGAUUAAUUCGAUGCAACGCGAAGAACCUUACCUGGUCUUGACACGUACAGAAGAACUUGGAGACGAGUUUGUGCCUUCGGGAGCUGUAACACAGGUGCUGCAUGGCUGUCGUCAGCUCGUGUCGUGAGAUGUUGGGUUAAGUCCCGCAACGAGCGCAACCCUUGUCAUUAGUUGCCAUCAUUAAGUUGGGCACUCUAAUGAGACUGCCGGUGACAAACCGGAGGAAGGUGGGGAUGACGUCAAGUCCUCAUGGCCCUUAUGACCAGGGCUUCACACGUCAUACAAUGGUUGGUACAAAGGGUAGCCAAGCCGCGAGGUGGAGCCAAUCUCAGAAAACCAAUCGUAGUCCGGAUUGCACUCUGCAACUCGAGUGCAUGAAGUCGGAAUCGCUAGUAAUCGCAGGUCAGCAUACUGCGGUGAAUACGUUCCCGGGUCUUGUACACACGC
This 1036-nucleotide ribosomal RNA is filed under the name uncultured bacterium. RNAcentral's name for it is "bacterial SSU rRNA". It matches the Rfam family "Bacterial small subunit ribosomal RNA", at positions 336 to 1393 of the family's 1533-position model. The record is from RNAcentral.